ACAGGAAAAUUCAUUUUUUUAUUUUUUUUUUCAAGGAGCAGCAGGAGGAGUUAGCUGCUUGCUAACUGACAUAAUGAGAAACCUUUAGUGGAGAUGAUUGGGUCAGGUUGUUCCCAUGUACACAAGGUUGUUAAUCAGCCCCAAGUGGUGUGUGGCAAGCUGUGGGCCAGAGAAAUGGCUGUGGGAUGCACGUGAACCAGUUGUCUUACUGUGUGGGUGGUAGAGAGCUGUGCCUCUCCAAGUGGAAGGUGACUCGAGGCAGCACGAGCAGUCUCAUGGGAUACGCAGCAGUAGGGUUCAGCACACCUGGCCAAAAGCUCAUCGUUGUUAUGUGAGUCAGCAGAUGGAAGCAGCUCUCCUGCUAAAUGUGCUGAUCCCAGGAAGCUGUCACUGUAUCCUGCCUGCUGCAGAGGAGUUACGUGCGUUGCAGUGACAGCAUGUCAGUCUCUGGCAAUGAAACACAGCAUAAGAAGUGAUGCUCACUUGUGUGAGAGAGGUGUAUGGUACCCAAGUGAUUUGCAUGAGCGCAGGAGGCACAGCUGGGAACAGCUUCGCCCUUCCCUAAUCCUGAGUAUGCAUGUGGGAAAGUGCUGA
This 594-nucleotide long non-coding RNA is filed under the name Anas platyrhynchos platyrhynchos (common mallard). RNAcentral's name for it is "lncRNA (ENSAPLG00000017279.1)". Lineage: Eukaryota; Metazoa; Chordata; Aves; Anseriformes; Anatidae. The record is from RNAcentral.